GAAGGUGGCAAGCGUUGUUCGGAAUCACUGGGCUUAAAGAGCACGUAGGCGGAAAGUUAAGUGUUUUGUGAAAUCCCUCGGCUUAACCGAGGAACUGCUUGACAUACUGGCUUUCUUGAGGCAGGUAGGGGCGCGUGGAACUCUAGGUGGAGCGGUGAAAUGCGUAGAUAUCUAGAGGAACGCCAGUGGUGAAAACGGCGCGCUGGGCCUGCCCUGACGCUGAGGUGCGAAAGCGUGGGGAGCAAAAAGGAUUAGAUACCCUUGUAGUCCACGCUGUAAACGAUGUCUACUAGGUCGCGGUAGUUCUGACACUUUCGCGGCCGGAGCAAAAGUGUUAAGUAGACCGCCUGGGGAGUACGGUCGCAAGGCUA
Molecule: ribosomal RNA, 371 nt
Filed under: uncultured organism
Description: partial 16S ribosomal RNA
Rfam family: Bacterial small subunit ribosomal RNA
Source: RNAcentral